AUUGAACGCUGGCGGCAUGCCUUACACAUGCAAGUCGAACGGUAACAGGUUAAGCUGACGAGUGGCGAACGGGUGAGUAAUGUAUCGGAACGUGCCCAGUCGUGGGGGAUAACUGCUCGAAAGAGCAGCUAAUACCGCAUACGACCUGAGGGUGAAAGCGGGGGAUCGCAAGACCUCGCGCGAUUGGAGCGGCCGAUAUCCGAUUAGGUAGUUGGUGAGGUAAAGGCUCACCAAGCCGACGAUCUGUAGCUGGUCUGAGAGGACGACCAGCCAAACUGGGACCUAGAAACGGGCCCGAACCCCAAGGGGGGGAAGAGGGGGGGAAAUUGGGAAAAAGGGGGAAAGCCUAACCCAGCCAGGCGGGGGGGAGGAAGAAGGCCUGCGGGUUGUAAACCGUUUUUGUAGGGGAAAAAAAGGUUCUGGCUAAAACCUGGGACUCAGGAGGGAACCGGAAAAAAAAGCACCGGCUAACUAGGG
Molecule: ribosomal RNA, 477 nt
Filed under: uncultured bacterium
Lineage: Bacteria
Description: partial 16S ribosomal RNA
Rfam family: Bacterial small subunit ribosomal RNA
Source: RNAcentral